Molecule: long non-coding RNA, 1471 nt
Filed under: Homo sapiens (human)
Lineage: Eukaryota; Metazoa; Chordata; Mammalia; Primates; Hominidae
Description: HSALNT0059544
Source: RNAcentral
UGUUCCCCAUUCUGUGAGCAGGCAAAUCUAAUCGUAUUGUUCCCUUGCUUAAAAAUCUUUCUGUGCUUAAAAAACUGUGUAUUCAGAUAAAGCCAUAUUCCAUAAACCUGCACAUGGACCCUCCAUGAUCUUCUCAUCUACUCUCCAACUUUCUUAAUUUGCCACUGUUUACAAACCACAUAGAAUUGCUUAUAAUUGGUUCACAUGAAUGACUGACUUAGGAUUGUCAACCAAAAGACAAAACUGUAAAAUAAAAUAUAAAAUAAGUGAGUGGGUCAUGUGUGGUGACUCAUGCAUGUAAUCCCACCAUUUUAGAUGGCUAAGGAUCACUUGAGCCCAGGAGUUUCCGACCAGCAUGGGCAACAUGGGGACAACCUGUGUCCACAAAAAAAAAACUAAAAAUUAGCUGGGCAUGGUGGUGCACAUUUGUAGUCCUAGCUGCUUGGAAGGCUGAGGCAGGAGGAUUGCUUGAGCCCAGGAGUUGGAGGCUGCAGUGGGCUAUAAUUGUGCCACUGCACUCCAGCCUGAGUGGCAGAAUGAAAUCUUGUCUCUAAAAAAUAAAUAAAAUAAGUGCGUGCAUAUGUUAUUUGAGGGAAUAAAAGGACUCUUAACCAUACAACAAAGGAAUCAGAACCAACACCUCAACAUAGGGGAAUGAAGAGAAAAUAUAAAUAUAAAUAAAAGAAGUGAUAAAAGAAAUCUGGCUAUUUAUAUAUACUUAACUUUAAAUGGAUAAGAAUAGACUUGGCCGGGCACGGUGGCUCACGCUUGCAAUCCCAGCACUUUGGGAGGCCAAGGGAGGUGGAUCAUCUGAGGUCGGGAGUUUGAGACCAGCCUGGUCAACAUAGUGAACCCCCAACUCUACUAAAAAUGCAAAAAAUUAGCUGGGCAUGGUGGCGGGCACUGCCUGUAAUCCCAGCUACUUGGGAAGCUGAGGCAGGAGAAUUGCUCGAACCCAGGAGAUGCAGGUUGCAGUGAGCCAAGAUUGCGCCACUGCACUCCAGCCUGGGUGACAGAGUGAGACUCCGUCUCAAAAAAUAAUAAAAAAAAGAAUAAGAAUAGACUGUCUGAGAAUGUAUAAUGUAAGAGCUAAAUAAGUAUUCUUGACAUGAAGAUAUUCUAUAAUGUAACACAAUAUCUUGGCAAAAACUUAGGUGCUUGGCUGAGGUGGAAAGAAAGAGAAGUGGAAGGGAGGAGAAAAAAAGUCUUAUUAUUAAGGGAUAAUAAAUGUAUUCUAAAAAUCUCACUUGAUAGAGGUAGGAAAAUAAUGGAGGAACUCAGUUUUCAUAUAAGAAAAUAAAAUCAUAUGCCUCAUUAUGAACACCAGGAAAAGAAAAUAAUCAAUAAUGGAAUGGAAAAGUAUACUAGUACUCCCAAAGUAAUAAGAGUAAUCAAAAAAAGCAAUGAAAAAAAAAUCAAAGACAAAGGGAAAAAAAGAAAUGGUUGGUAAAACUAAUAAAGAAUAUAAAAG